This is a long non-coding RNA of Lycium ferocissimum, 398 nucleotides long. RefSeq lists it as uncharacterized. The transcript is spliced from 2 exons. Lineage: Eukaryota; Viridiplantae; Streptophyta; Magnoliopsida; Solanales; Solanaceae. The record is from RefSeq and is a predicted model, not a curated record.
UCCUUAUACUAGUUGUCUUCUCUUUACUCUUAGAGAUCUGUUCUGAUAAAGUGAUGAAGAUGUGGAAACAUUGACAAUGGGAGAAGCAUCUAUGCUUUUGUUCCUCCUUUUUGAUAAGAUUCGUUGUAAAGAAUAAAGUGGUGGGUUUGAAUUGCACACCAAAAGAAUGAAGAUAGUAUUGAAGUCGAGGAGGUAAAGAUGGAGAGAGAAUGAUAAUAAAUGGAGACAAUGGUUGUGGUUUCCCUUCGGAUCAACCUUAAUAUAGUGAGAAUUAAUGUUAUUAGACAUGUAUUAUCUCAUUUGUAAACACGUUCUUCAUCUUUUGAGAUUAAUGGUACUGUUUGAGACAUUUGUACAAGAUUUAUGUAUAAUUAUGAGUUACCAAUGAUUUGUUACAA